Molecule: ribosomal RNA, 639 nt
Filed under: uncultured bacterium
Lineage: Bacteria
Description: bacterial SSU rRNA
Rfam family: Bacterial small subunit ribosomal RNA
Source: RNAcentral
GCUUAACGUUGCGCGUGCAGUGGGUACGGGCUGACUAGAGUGCAGUAGGGGAGUCUGGAAUUCCUGGUGUAGCGGUGAAAUGCGCAGAUAUCAGGAGGAACACCGGUGGCGAAGGCGGGACUCUGGGCUGUAACUGACACUGAGGAGCGAAAGCGUGGGGAGCGAACAGGAUUAGAUACCCUGGUAGUCCAUGCCGUAAACGUUGGGCACUAGGUGUGGGGGACAUUCUACGUUCUCCGCGCCGUAGCUAACGCAUUAAGUGCCCCGCCUGGGGAGUACGGUCGCAAGGCUAAAACUCAAAGGAAUUGACGGGGGCCCGCACAAGCGGCGGAGCAUGCGGAUUAAUUCGAUGCAACGCGAAGAACCUUACCAAGGCUUGACAUUCACUGGACCGUUCUGGAAACAGUUCUUCUCUUUGGAGCUGGUGUACAGGUGGUGCAUGGUUGUCGUCAGCUCGUGUCGUGAGAUGUUGGGUUAAGUCCCGCAACGAGCGCAACCCUCGUUCUAUGUUGCCAGCACGUGAUGGUGGGAACUCAUAGGAGACUGCCGGGGUCAACUCGGAGGAAGGUGGGGAUGACGUCAAAUCAUCAUGCCCUUUAUGUCUUGGGCUUCACGCAUGCUACAAUGGCUGGUACAGAG